GGAGUUUAUCGUGUACGCAAGUCAUUGAGUGAAUAAAACUCAAUGGCGAAAUAAAAGUAAAGAGUUGAGUUUAUGUUAAAAAAAUUUUUUAAAUUUUUUUUUUCAUGUCUCUCUUAAGGGAAGAUAAAAAUUUAUUUUAAUAAUUUAUAUAUUGUUAAUAUAAAUUUUUAGCACUCCCAGGGCGCUUGCUUCACGCUUUGCGUGUCAAUGCGCACCUAGAGCGUACACGCUGAUACCCGAAAGAUGGUGAACUAUGCCUGGCCAGGACGAAGCCAGGGGAAACCCUGGUGGAGGUCCGCAGCGAUUCUGACGUGCAAAUCGAUCGUCGGAGCUGGGUAUAGGGGCGAAAGACCAAUCGAACCAUCUAGUAGCUGGUUCCCUCUGAAGUUUCCCUCAGGAUAGCUUGCGCUCGGUUGAGAAGAGUCUCAUCCGGUAGAGCGAAUGAUUAGAGGCAUUGGGGUCGAAACGACCUCAACCUAUUCUCAAACUCCAAAUAGAUGAGACCCCCGGCUUUCUUAAAAUUGAAGCCGUGGGAAUAGGAUCAGA
This is a ribosomal RNA of 546 nucleotides. It matches the Rfam family "Eukaryotic large subunit ribosomal RNA", at positions 670 to 1118 of the family's 3401-position model.